Molecule: ribosomal RNA, 496 nt
Filed under: uncultured bacterium
Lineage: Bacteria
Description: partial 16S ribosomal RNA
Rfam family: Bacterial small subunit ribosomal RNA
Source: RNAcentral
AUGCACGCUGGCGGCGUGCCUAAUACAUGCAAGUCGAGCGAACAGACGAGGAGCUUGCUCCUCUGACGUUAGCGGCGGACGGGUGAGUAACACGUGGAUAACCUACCUAUAAGACUGGGAUAACUUCGGGAAACCGGAGCUAAUACCGGAUAAUAUAUUGAACCGCAUGGUUCAAUAGUGAAAGACGGUUUUGCUGUCACUUAUAGAUGGAUCCGCGCCGCAUUAGCUAGUUGGUAAGGUAACGGCUUACCAAGGCGACGAUGCGUAGCCGACCUGAGAGGGUGAUCGGCCACACUGGAACGGAAGCACGGUCCAGACUCCUACGGGAGGCACAAGUAGGGAAUCUUCGGAAAUGGGCGAAAGCCUGACGGAGCAACGCCGCGUGAGUGAUAAAGGUCUUAGGAUCGUAAAACUCUGUUAUUAGGGAAGAACAAAUGUGUAAGUAACUAUGCACGUCUUGACGGUACCUAAUCAGAAAGCCACGGCUAACUACGUG